CCUACGGGAGGCAGCAGUGGGGAAUAUUGGGCAAUGGAGGAAACUCUGACCCAGCGACGCCGCGUGCGGGAUGAAGGCCUUCGGGUUGUAAACCGCUUUCAGUAGGGAAGAAGCGAAAGUGACGGUACCUACAGAAGAAGCACCGGCUAACUAUGUGCCAGCAGCCGCGGUAAUACAUAGGGUGCAAGCGUUGUCCGGAAUUAUUGGGCGUAAAGAGCUCGUAGGUGGUUCGUCACGUCGGAUGUGAAAAUCUGGGGCUCAACCCCAGACCUGCAUUCGAUACGGGCGAUCUAGAGUGUGGUAGGGGAGACUGGAAUUCCUGGUGUAGCGGUGGAAUGCGCAGAUAUCAGGAGGAACACCAAUGGCGAAGGCAGGUCUCUGGGCCAUUACUGACACUGAGGAGCGAAAGCGUGGGGAGCGAACAGGAUUAGAUACCCUGGUAGUCCACGCCGUAAACGGUGGGCACUAGUUGUGGGAACCUUCCACGGUUUCUGCGACGCNGCUACGCAUAGUAGCCCGCCGUCGGGAGGUACGAGUCGCGAGAAGUUAAACGUACUAAAUAGUAAGUUAGUUACGGUCGUUGAGACGUUGCCGACGGCGACGACGAGGGGAGGUUAGG
Molecule: ribosomal RNA, 619 nt
Filed under: uncultured bacterium
Lineage: Bacteria
Description: bacterial SSU rRNA
Rfam family: Bacterial small subunit ribosomal RNA (bases 1-521)
Source: RNAcentral